AGACGGAGGGGGCUAGCGUUGUUCGGAAUUACUGGGCGUAAAGCGCGCGUAGGCGGUCCGUUUAGUUAGGCGUGAAAGGCCUGGGCUCAACCCGGGAACUGCGUUUAAAACUGGCGGGCUAGAGUCCGGGAGAGGGUGGCGGAAUUCCCAGUGUAGAGGUGAAAUUCGUAGAUAUUGGGAAGAACACCAGUGGCGAAGGCGGCCACCUGGCCCGGUACUGACGCUGAGGUGCGAAAGCGUGGGGAGCAAACAGGAUUAGAAACCCCGGUAGUCC
Molecule: ribosomal RNA, 274 nt
Filed under: uncultured bacterium
Lineage: Bacteria
Description: partial 16S ribosomal RNA
Rfam family: Bacterial small subunit ribosomal RNA
Source: RNAcentral